RNAcentral lists this ribosomal RNA (2046 nucleotides) under Triticum aestivum (bread wheat). RNAcentral's name for it is "partial small subunit ribosomal RNA". Lineage: Eukaryota; Viridiplantae; Streptophyta; Magnoliopsida; Poales; Poaceae. The record is from RNAcentral.
AUGGACAAGCUAUUGGCUUUUGUUCCUCCCAAGGUGACUGACCAAAUGAAUGUGGAACUUGACAACCCGUUUACAGCCGAGGUGGUUAGGAUAGUGCUAUUUCAGAUGGCACCGUCCAAGGCACCAGUAGUGGACGGCUUUACGGCAGGAUUGUUUCAGCGGCAUUGGUCCUUGCUCAAAGAUGAUAUAAUCCCGGCUGUCCUGGGUUUUUUGAAUAGGGGUAGACUACCUGAGGGGUUGAAUGACACAUCAAUCACCUUGAUUCCAAAGGUCUGGUACCCACAGCGCAUCGCUCAAUAUCGUCCCAUAUCAUUAUGUUCUGUUCUGUACAAGAUUGCUUCUAAGUGCAUUACCAACAGAGCAAGAUGUUUCAUGGGUGAGAUCAUAAGUGCAGAACAGAGUGCAUUUGUGCCCGGACGCCUCAUCACCGAUAACGUUUUGAUUGCUUAUGGAAGUGUUCAUGCAAUGAGACAUCGAAGGAAAGGAAUACGUGUUAGCCCUCUUUCUCCUUGGGUUAAUCACUUGCUCUUUGCUGAUGACAGUUCGAUAUUUUUAAAGGCACAUGUGGCGAGUGCACUCAGGCUAAAUGAGGUGUUGAGGAUUUAUGGUGACUGCUCGGGACAAUGUGUUAAUCGCGACAAAAGCUCUGAUUACUCCAGUCCGAAUACACCUGGUACCACUCGGCGGGAGCUAAAAUCAGUGUUGGGUAUUUCAGUGGAGGCUUUCAAUGAGCGCUACUUGGGACUCCCAACUGCUACUGGACGUAUCACCAGCGGAACUUUCGAAUACCUUGGUGAGCGAAUUAGAAGCAAACUACAAGGAGGUACCGAACAGCUUAUCUCACGUGCAGGGAGGGAGGUUCACCUUAAGGCUGUUGCGCAUGCAAUCGCAUCCUUUUCGAUGAGAUGUUUCAAGUUCACGAAGAAGAUUUGCAAAGGUUUUUCUUCAAAAAUGGCUCAGUACUGGUGGAGCAGCUCAGUGGAUCGCAGUGAGUUCAUGGCCGUUGCAAUUCCGAAACAUGCGUCAGCCACUUGGAGGGCAAUAGUUGCAGGGAGACAGGCCCUAAAGACCGGCUUGGUUAAAAGGAUUGGAGAUGGCUCGUCCGUAUCCACUUGGCAUGAUAGCUGGAUUCCAAGUCUCCUUCCGAUUCGUCCGUCAGCCCAAAUCAGAAAUGCCAACAUUCCUUAUGUGGCAAACCUGAUUGACGGAGGGGCUGAUUCAUGGGCAUGGGCUGCUGAAAAGUCUGGGAACUACACUGUAAAAUCCGCGUACCACGCUCUGGUGACCCAUACCAAGCAUUCAGCUCUAGGGGAAUGGACGGUGACAGAAACUUCAGAGAAUCGGAAACAGUGCUGGUCUAGACUUUGGAAGCUCAAGGUUGUGCCAAAAAUGUUCUGGAGAGAGGCGAGGGAGUGGCUCAACAUCAAGCUUCCGGAGCUUCAUACAACAACAUGGUCUCAGGAUAUUUUGUGUGAUUCCAGAUAUGAUGAAGCAGACCGCGCAAAAAUUAUUACGGUAAUGUGGGCGAUCUGGACGUCCAGAAACAACAUUACUCAUGACAAACAAAGUUUGGAUCCAGUGAUGUCGGUGAAGAAAACCAGAGAAGCUCUGGAGAUUCUGGAACUUCCUAGGGACCAAGCUAGGAUCUUGCCUGGGCAUGGUUGGCAACCUGCUCAGGAUGACUGCAUUAAGAUUAAUGUUGAUGCAGAGGCUCUUGCUCUCCGUGAAGGUGUGGUCUUCGCAAUGCUUUGUGGCUUUGAGCGAGUACAAAUGGAGACUGACAGUCAAGACGUGGUCGAUCUCUGGAACUCGCGCCGUUCUUCGUGCUCGUUGAUAGCGCCGGUGCUUUUAGAUAUUGAAGGGUUAGCAGAUAGUUUUUCCUCUUUUAGUAUUCAUCAUGUUAAGAGGCAUUCUAGUGUCCCUACCCACCUGUGUACCAAGAAUGCUUGCACACUGAAGGUGACAGAUUGUUGGAUGUACUCUCCUCAUGGGUUUCUCGUGACUAGCCUUAUAGCGGACACGGCAGGAGCCCGUAUGAUUGAAUAA